AGCUUAAUGAAAUAUUUAAUAUUAGGUGAAUUCUGCUCAAUGAUAUUAUUUAAAUAGCCGCAGUACUUUGACUGUGCGAAGGUAGCAUAAUAAAUUGGCUUAUAAUUGAAGUCGGGAAUGAAUGAAUAAAUGGAUAUACACUGUUUUAUAUGUAUUUAUGUUAAUUUUCUAAGUAAGUGAAAAUUCUUACAAGAUUUUUUAUUAGACGAGAAGACCCUUGAAAUUUUUAUAAUAUAAUAUACUAUAUUAUUAAUUUUUGUUGGGGCGACAAAUUCACACAUAAACUGAAUUUAUAAUAUAUAAUAAUACAAAUUUUAUUAAUUAAAGAUAAAUUACUCAAGGGAUAACAGCAUAAUUUAUUAAUAAGUUUGUGACCUCGAUGUUGGACUAGGAAAAUUUAAGUUUAGAAGAUUUAAAAUUUAAGUUCUGUUCGAACUAUUAUUUCCUACAUG
Molecule: ribosomal RNA, 452 nt
Filed under: Lacteoluna cf. selenina ANSP 403393
Lineage: Eukaryota; Metazoa; Mollusca; Gastropoda; Stylommatophora; Sagdidae
Description: partial 16S ribosomal RNA
Source: RNAcentral